CCUGCGCCGGGGAUGCGGCGGCGUCGGCGCCGGCUAACGGUCCAGGGAGGCGGCAGGGGCGGCGGGAGCCGCUAGGCGGAGAGAGACCAGACAGAGUUUUGCUCUUAUUGCCCAGGCUGGAGUGCAAUGGCACGAUCUCAGCUCACUGCAACGUCUGCCUCCCAGGUUCAAGCGAUUCUCCUGCCUCAGCCUCCCGAGUAGCUGGGAUUACAGGGCCUACUGCAGUGCAUGAAGGUGGUAUGGACUCAGAACUCUGAAGUCUGAGGAGACAAAUACAUGCCCACCAUAACAACAUCACACAAUACCUAGAGUCAAAACAGUUAUCCCUAUUCCUACCCCCAACUGAGUUAUUCAAUAAAGCCUGCCUUGUUGAAUCUGUUUUCCCAUGUAUAGUUUAUAUAGUUACAUAACAAUUAGUUUUUUCCAUAUACUUAGGAUAACUACAUGUAAUUUAGUAUUCUGCUGUUUUCACUUACAUAUCACAUACAUUUUCCUGAUACAGGUACAUAGUCUUUAUAUUUGUCAUUUUUCACUUGACUGCUAUGUUUCUCAAAUUGAUAUACUGUCAUUUCCUAAGCCAGUUAUAUAUUGUUGAACAUUUAAAUUACUCCCUUUUUUGGUUUGUAAAUAAACAUUGUUAUGAAAUA
Molecule: long non-coding RNA, 647 nt
Filed under: Homo sapiens (human)
Lineage: Eukaryota; Metazoa; Chordata; Mammalia; Primates; Hominidae
Description: HSALNT0357189
Source: RNAcentral